Non-coding RNA from Rattus norvegicus (Norway rat), 467 nucleotides. The record is from RefSeq and is a predicted model, not a curated record. NCBI's taxonomy places the organism in Eukaryota, Metazoa, Chordata, Mammalia, Rodentia, Muridae.
UGUAGGUUCGCCCUUGAAUGCCAAGUGAGUUCUGGACCUUCCUAAAGAUACUCAUGUCCCUGAGCCAUCUUUCUGGUCUUUAGCUGCAGAUGUAAACAAUAAGACACUGGAGGUUGGCUUUAAGCUCAAUGCAAAGCCAGGUUGGCUUUCAAUUCUUGAUUCUCCUGUCUUCUGUGUAAAGAGAUUACAGGUUCCUACUCUAUAGCCAGGCUGAGCUAAAAACAUCACAGCAACCAUUCUAUAUUAUCAGCCUGAGAUCUGGGAUUGCAGAUAUGAGCAGAGCUCAAAGAAAUAAUGUAAUUGCCAGCUUUGAGGAUGAGAUGUGAUCGAAAGCCAAAGAAUGUGUGUGCUUCUGGAAGCUGGAAAGGUCAAGGAAAUGGGUUCUGCCUUAAAGUAUCCUUUAGAAAAGAGUGUGGCACUGAUGAUGUCUUUAUUCCAGUUUAGACAGCCCUAUUUUAAGCUUUUGU